UACGUAGGGUGCAAGCGUUAAUCGGAAUUACUGGGCGUAAAGCGUGCGCAGGCGGUUUUGUAAGUCUGAUGUGAAAUCCCCGGGCUCAACCUGGGAAUUGCGUUGGAGACUGCAAGGCUAGAAUCUGGCAGAGGGGGGUAGAAUUCCACGUGUAGCAGUGAAAUGCGUAGAGAUGUGGAGGAACACCGAUGGCGAAGGCAACCCCCUGGGUCAAGAUUGACGCUCAUGCACGAAAGCGUGGGGAGCAAACAGG
Molecule: ribosomal RNA, 253 nt
Filed under: uncultured bacterium
Lineage: Bacteria
Description: partial 16S ribosomal RNA
Rfam family: Bacterial small subunit ribosomal RNA
Source: RNAcentral